This 253-nucleotide ribosomal RNA is filed under the name uncultured bacterium. Its description in RNAcentral is "partial 16S ribosomal RNA". It matches the Rfam family "Bacterial small subunit ribosomal RNA", at positions 524 to 776 of the family's 1533-position model. The record is from RNAcentral.
UACGUAGGUGGCAAGCGUUGUCCGGAAUUAUUGGGCGUAAAGCGCGCGCAGGCGGUCCUUUAAGUCUGAUGUGAAAGCCCACGGCUCAACCGUGGAGGGUCAUUGGAAACUGGGGGACUUGAGUGCAGAAGAGGAAAGCGGAAUUCCACGUGUAGCGGUGAAAUGCGUAGAGAUGUGGAGGAACACCAGUGGCGAAGGCGGCUUUCUGGACUGCAACUGACACUGAAAGACGAAAGCCAGGGGAGCAAACGGG